UACGUAGGGAGCGAGCGUUAUCCGGAAUUAUUGGGCGUAAAGGGUUCGUAGGUGGCAUAAUAAGUCUAUAGUUAAAGUUCGGGGCUCAACCCCGUGAUGCUAUAGAAACUGUUAAGCUUGAAUAUAGGAGAGGAUAAUGGAAUUCCAUGUGUAGCGGUAAAAUGCGUAAAUAUAUGGAGGAACACCAGUGGCGAAAGCGA
Molecule: ribosomal RNA, 200 nt
Filed under: uncultured bacterium
Lineage: Bacteria
Description: partial 16S ribosomal RNA
Rfam family: Bacterial small subunit ribosomal RNA
Source: RNAcentral